Molecule: ribosomal RNA, 2905 nt
Filed under: Escherichia albertii
Lineage: Bacteria; Pseudomonadati; Pseudomonadota; Gammaproteobacteria; Enterobacterales; Enterobacteriaceae
Description: 23S ribosomal RNA
Rfam family: Bacterial large subunit ribosomal RNA
Source: RNAcentral
GGUUAAGCGACUAAGCGUACACGGUGGAUGCCCUGGCAGUCAGAGGCGAUGAAGGACGUGCUAAUCUGCGAAAAGCGUCGGUAAGGUGAUAUGAACCGUUAUAACCGGCGAUGUCCGAAUGGGGAAACCCAGUGUGUUCCGACACACUAUCAUUAACUGAAUCCAUAGGUUAAUGAGGCGAACCGGGGGAACUGAAACAUCUAAGUACCCCGAGGAAAAGAAAUCAACCGAGAUUCCCCCAGUAGCGGCGAGCGAACGGGGAGGAGCCCAGAGCCUGAAUCAGUGUGUGUGUUAGUGGAAGCGUCUGGAAAGGCGUGCGAUACAGGGUGACAGCCCCGUACACGAAAAUGCACAUGCUGUGAGCUCGAAGAGUAGGGCGGGACACGUGGUAUCCUGUCUGAAUAUGGGGGGACCAUCCUCCAAGGCUAAAUACUCCUGACUGACCGAUAGUGAACCAGUACCGUGAGGGAAAGGCGAAAAGAACCCCGGCGAGGGGAGUGAAAAAGAACCUGAAACCGUGUACGUACAAGCAGUGGGAGCCCUGAUUUAUCAGGGUGACUGCGUACCUUUUGUAUAAUGGGUCAGCGACUUAUAUUCUGUAGCAAGGUUAACCGAAUAGGGGAGCCGGAGGGAAACCGAGUCUUAACUGGGCGUUAAGUUGCAGGGUAUAGACCCGAAACCCGGUGAUCUAGCCAUGGGCAGGUUGAAGGUUGGGUAACACUAACUGGAGGACCGAACCGACUAAUGUUGAAAAAUUAGCGGAUGACUUGUGGCUGGGGGUGAAAGGCCAAUCAAACCGGGAGAUAGCUGGUUCUCCCCGAAAGCUAUUUAGGUAGCGCCUCGUGAAUUCAUCUCCGGGGGUAGAGCACUGUUUCGGCAAGGGGGUCAUCCCGACUUACCAACCCGAUGCAAACUGCGAAUACCGGAGAAUGUUAUCACGGGAGACACACGGCGGGUGCUAACGUCCGUCGUGAAGAGGGAAACAACCCAGACCGCCAGCUAAGGUCCCAAAGUCAUGGUUAAGUGGGAAACGAUGUGGGAAGGCCCAGACAGCCAGGAUGUUGGCUUAGAAGCAGCCAUCAUUUAAAGAAAGCGUAAUAGCUCACUGGUCGAGUCGGCCUGCGCGGAAGAUGUAACGGGGCUAAACCAUGCACCGAAGCUGCGGCAGCGACACUGUGUGUUGUUGGGUAGGGGAGCGUUCUGUAAGCCUGUGAAGGUGUGCUGUGAGGCAUGCUGGAGGUAUCAGAAGUGCGAAUGCUGACAUAAGUAACGAUAAAGCGGGUGAAAAGCCCGCUCGCCGGAAGACCAAGGGUUCCUGUCCAACGUUAAUCGGGGCAGGGUGAGUCGACCCCUAAGGCGAGGCCGAAAGGCGUAGUCGAUGGGAAACAGGUUAAUAUUCCUGUACUUGGUGUUACUGCGAAGGGGGGACGGAGAAGGCUAUGUUGGCCGGGCGACGGUUGUCCCGGUUUAAGCGUGUAGGCUGGUUUUCCAGGCAAAUCCGGAGAAUCAAGGCUGAGGCGUGAUGACGAGGCACUACGGUGCUGAAGCAACAAAUGCCCUGCUUCCAGGAAAAGCCUCUAAGCAUCAGGUAACAUCAAAUCGUACCCCAAACCGACACAGGUGGUCAGGUAGAGAAUACCAAGGCGCUUGAGAGAACUCGGGUGAAGGAACUAGGCAAAAUGGUGCCGUAACUUCGGGAGAAGGCACGCUGAUAUGUAGGUGAAGCGACUUGCUCGUGGAGCUGAAAUCAGUCGAAGAUACCAGCUGGCUGCAACUGUUUAUUAAAAACACAGCACUGUGCAAACACGAAAGUGGACGUAUACGGUGUGACGCCUGCCCGGUGCCGGAAGGUUAAUUGAUGGGGUCAGCGCAAGCGAAGCUCUUGAUCGAAGCCCCGGUAAACGGCGGCCGUAACUAUAACGGUCCUAAGGUAGCGAAAUUCCUUGUCGGGUAAGUUCCGACCUGCACGAAUGGCGUAAUGAUGGCCAGGCUGUCUCCACCCGAGACUCAGUGAAAUUGAACUCGCUGUGAAGAUGCAGUGUACCCGCGGCAAGACGGAAAGACCCCGUGAACCUUUACUAUAGCUUGACACUGAACACUGGUCCUUGAUGUGUAGGAUAGGUGGGAGGCUUUGAAGUGUGGACGCCAGUCUGCAUGGAGCCGUCCUUGAAAUACCACCCUUUAAUGGCUGGUGUUCUAACGUUGGCCCGUAAUCCGGGUUGCGGACAGUGUCUGGUGGGUAGUUUGACUGGGGCGGUCUCCUCCUAAAGAGUAACGGAGGAGCACGAAGGUUGGCUAAUCCUGGUCGGACAUCAGGAGGUUAGUGCAAUGGCAUAAGCCAGCUUGACUGCGAGCGUGACGGCGCGAGCAGGUGCGAAAGCAGGUCAUAGUGAUCCGGUGGUUCUGAAUGGAAGGGCCAUCGCUCAACGGAUAAAAGGUACUCCGGGGAUAACAGGCUGAUACCGCCCAAGAGUUCAUAUCGACGGCGGUGUUUGGCACCUCGAUGUCGGCUCAUCACAUCCUGGGGCUGAAGUAGGUCCCAAGGGUAUGGCUGUUCGCCAUUUAAAGUGGUACGCGAGCUGGGUUUAGAACGUCGUGAGACAGUUCGGUCCCUAUCUGCCGUGGGCGCUGGAGAACUGAGGGGGGCUGCUCCUAGUACGAGAGGACCGGAGUGGACGCAUCACUGGUGUUCGGGUUGUCAUGCCAAUGGCACUGCCCGGUAGCUAAAUGCGGAAGAGAUAAGUGCUGAAAGCAUCUAAGCACGAAACUUGCCCCGAGAUGAGUUCUCCCUGAGACAUUAAGUCUCCUGAAGGAACGUUGAAGACGACGACGUUGAUAGGCCGGGUGUGUAAGCGCAGCGAUGCGUUGAGCUAACCGGUACUAAUGAACCGUGAGGCUUAACCUU